ACGGAGCCUUGGUAGCACCAGUCUGCCUCUUGGCCGGCGACACUCGCCUGUAGCUGGAAACUUUUCCUCCCGUGGGUUAAGAACCAGCUGCUGCAUGCUAAAGUUUUCCAUGUAGCUCACAGAUCAAACGCGGGUGGUCCCCUAUGGUCCUUUCCCCUUCGAACACCCCCCCGCCAGGUGAAAAACCUAGGCUUGGAGGGGAGAUUUAAAGGGGGAAAUUUUCCGCUUGGGGGUUAAGAGAUGACCGUAGCAGCUCUGCGAAGAGUCUGAUAAACUAGUUCCGUAGGUGAACCUGCGGAAGGAUCAUUAAUGAGAGGGGGGCUCCGCGCUCUAGGGGUUCACGCCCCGCACCUUUCCACCCUUUGUGUACCAUCCACUGUUGCUUUGGCGGUCCCCGGGGUUCUCCCCCGGCGUUGGCCCCUAUCCAUGGGGCUCGCGAGCGCCCGCCAGAAGCCCAUCGAAAACCUGUUUCAUCGGAGAAGUCAGAGUUUCUACGAAUGAAUUAAAACUUUCAACAACGGAUCUCUUGGUUCUGGCAUCGAUGAAGAACGCAGCGAAAUGCGAUAAGUAAUGUGAAUUGCAGAAUUCAGUGAAUCAUCGAAUCUUUGAACGCACAUUGCGCCCCCCGGCAUUCCGGGGGGCAUACCUGUUCGAGCGUCAUUAAACCCCUCAAGCUCUGCUUGGUAUUGGGCGUUCGCACCCCGCAGCAUGGGCGGGCGCGCCCGAAAACGAGUGGCGGUCCCGGGAGACUUCAAGCGCAGUAACUGAACCCGUUUUGGAAGCUUUCUGCCCGGUGGCUCGGCCAACGAAUGACUUUCAAGAAUUGACCUCGGAUCAGGUAGGGAUACCCGCUGAACUUAAGCAUAUCAAUAAGCGGAGGAAAAGAAACCAAACUGG
RNAcentral lists this small RNA (897 nucleotides) under Caloplaca sp. KWS 7. Its description in RNAcentral is "eukaryotic LSU rRNA". The stretch from base 507 to 660 matches the Rfam family "5.8S ribosomal RNA". The record is from RNAcentral. Lineage: Eukaryota; Fungi; Ascomycota; Lecanoromycetes; Teloschistales; Teloschistaceae.